AUUUUAAAAUGAGUAAGCUAAAAUUUAAAAGAAAAGAGAAGUCAAUUGUAUAUUCGUAUAAAAAUGUAUUAUUUUAAUUAAAAUGAAUAUUUUAAAAAGAAUUAAUAAAUUUUAAUGAAAUAAAAGUUGAGAUAGAUACAUUGGCAUGAGAACAAAAACUAGAAUUUAUAGGUUGUCGGCGCUGAAGAAGCUGAGAACCAUGUCCAUCAACCAUACCAGGGAGCAUUCCUGGUACCUACUUAUUCCAUUGAUGAAAACACAUCAGUAACAUUUAUAUGCAUAGUAUACUGCCAUUGUGCAUUUGGGUCUUUCUUCUUCUGUUUUUUCUUUUUUCUAUCCUCAUCAUCUUUUGAUUUCUUUUUAGAAGUAGAUGCCUUAGAAGGCAGGUCCUACUUUAUUUCCUUCUUA
RNAcentral lists this long non-coding RNA (408 nucleotides) under Phaseolus vulgaris (common bean). RNAcentral's name for it is "long non-coding RNA (PVUL_LNC002107)". Lineage: Eukaryota; Viridiplantae; Streptophyta; Magnoliopsida; Fabales; Fabaceae. The record is from RNAcentral.